AGAGUUUGAUCCUGGCUCAGAUUGAACGCUGGCGGCAGGCCUAACACAUGCAAGUCGAACGGUAACAGGAUUAGCUUGCUAAUCGCUGACGAGUGGCGGACGGGUGAGUAAUGCUUGGGAACUUGCCUUUGGGAGGGGGAUAACAGUUGGAAACGACUGCUAAUACCGCAUAACGUCUACGGACCAAAGGGGGCUUAGGCUCCUACCUGAAGAGAGGCCCAAGUGAGAUUAGCUAGUUGGUAAGGUAACGGCUUACCAAGGCAACGAUCUCUAGCUGUUCUGAGAGGAAGAUCAGCCACACUGGGACUGAGACACGGCCCAGACUCCUACGGGAGGCAGCAGUGGGGAAUAUUGCACAAUGGGGGAAACCCUGAUGCAGCCAUGCCGCGUGUGUGAAGAAGGCCUUCGGGUUGUAAAGCACUUUCAGUUGUGAGGAAAGGUUGGUAGUUAAUACCUGCCAGCUGUGACGUUAACAACAGAAGAAGCACCGGCUAACUCCGUGCCAGCAGCCGCGGUAAUACGGAGGGUGCGAGCGUUAAUCGGAAUUACUGGGCGUAAAGCGCACGCAGGCGGUUUGUUAAGCUAGAUGUGAAAGCCCCGGGCUCAACCUGGGAUGGUCAUUUAGAACUGGCAGACUAGAGUCUUGGAGAGGGGAGUGGAAUUCCAGGUGUAGCGGUGAAAUGCGUAGAUAUCUGGAGGAACAUCAGUGGCGAAGGCGGCUCCCUGGCCAAAGACUGACGCUCAUGUGCGAAAGUGUGGGUAGCGAACAGGAUUAGAUACCCUGGUAGUCCACACCGUAAACGCUGUCUACUAGCUGUUUGUGGAUUUAAUCUGUGAGUAGCGAAGCUAACGCGCUAAGUAGACCGCCUGGGGAGUACGGCCGCAAGGUUAAAACUCAAAUGAAUUGACGGGGGCCCGCACAAGCGGUGGAGCAUGUGGUUUAAUUCGAUGCAA
RNAcentral lists this ribosomal RNA (954 nucleotides) under uncultured bacterium. Its description in RNAcentral is "bacterial SSU rRNA". It matches the Rfam family "Bacterial small subunit ribosomal RNA", at positions 8 to 959 of the family's 1533-position model. The record is from RNAcentral.